Non-coding RNA from Odocoileus virginianus texanus, 295 nucleotides. NCBI's taxonomy places the organism in Eukaryota, Metazoa, Chordata, Mammalia, Artiodactyla, Cervidae. The record is from RefSeq and is a predicted model, not a curated record.
UAUAUUGACCAAAACGAAGAUAUUGGCCCCAGCAUACUUUAUCCUGGGAGGCAACCAGUCUGGGGAGGGCUGUGUGAUUACACGAGACAGAACACAGUCCCUGGAUGUAUAUGAACUCGACCCCAAGCAGGGUAGAUGGUAUGUGGUACAAACAAAUUAUGACCGAUGGAAAAACCCCUUCUUCCUUGAUGAUCGCAGAACACCUGCAAAGAUGUGUCUGAACCAGACAACCCAAGAGAAUAUCUCAUUUUCAACCAUGUAUGAUGUCUUGUCAACAAAACCUGUCCUCAACAAG